Molecule: non-coding RNA, 540 nt
Filed under: Pongo abelii (Sumatran orangutan)
Lineage: Eukaryota; Metazoa; Chordata; Mammalia; Primates; Hominidae
Source: RNAcentral
CUCCCUUUUGCCUCUUCUGGAUUUCAGGUAACAAAGCACCACAUUAGACACUGAAGAUAGAAAUUUGCUUAAGAUAUGGUCUCAGCAUUCAACAGGCUGGUGUUCUGGUUGAGAAGCAAUACAUGGAUCUUUCUUUCUCCUAGCCCUGGAGACUGGUUCAAGCGAUUCUCCUGCCUCAGCCUCCCAAGUAGCUGGGACUACAGUAUCCUACAUAAAACUGCAUUAAAAACCAGUAACAUCAGACCCUGGAUGGGGACGGAAGGUCCAAAUCAGAACCUCCAUGGAAUGCAUCUCUACAUAUUUUCACAUUUGUUUUCAAGCAAGGAGCAAGACCAGCAAGAAAGUGAGGACUUCCUCUGAUGCACAAACCUGGGAUGUGCUGUGAAAAUCAGCUACCUGGGCUUCCCACCUGUGGAUGCUCACUGACCUGGGGCCACACCAGCUGAUUUCAGGACUUCCUCAGAGAAAACACCCAGGCAAGACACCAGCAACAGAGCUACCCUGAUGAUUAUUAAAUUAGCUCUACGUGGAGAUGCCAUA